Peromyscus maniculatus bairdii (prairie deer mouse) is the source of this 458-nucleotide long non-coding RNA. RefSeq lists it as uncharacterized. Lineage: Eukaryota; Metazoa; Chordata; Mammalia; Rodentia; Cricetidae. The record is from RefSeq and is a predicted model, not a curated record.
GUUCUAGAAUAUAGGAUUCUAUUUCAGUUGGCUCUGCUGACACUCAAUAGUGUAUGUCUUUAUAAUGACAGGAGCAAGUUCAGAACAGAUUAUGUAGCAAGAAAGGAAUCCGGUGACCAGCCAGAGGCAGCUUUAAAGAGGCGAGAGGAACAAAGAGGAGGCAACCAUGUUGGAAGACCAAGAAAGGAGAACAUACCACAAGAAGUGUGGGGAAGAUGACCAGAAGAGCUGCUUGCAAUGUGAAUUGACAGUUGCAAGAAACUACUUAACCUUAAGAUGCAUUCAAGGGACACUGAAGCUGCUUAAACCCAAAUGUGAGCAGACUCUGUCCCUUUGUCAUUAUCUGUGUGCCGAUCAUGCCUAAGUUCUGGACCUUCAUUCAAGUGUCAUGAGGAGACUAAGCUGAUGGAUGUAUAAUCUUUUCUGGGUGCAUUCCAAUACAACAUUUACUGUCUUAA